UACGUAGGGACCAAGCGUUGUUCGGAUUUACUGGGCGUAAAGGGCGCGUAGGCGGCGCGGUAAGUCACUUGUGAAAUCUCUGAGCUUAACUCAGAACGGCCAAGUGAUAAUGCAGUGCUAGAGUGUGGAAGGGGCAAUCGGAAUUCUUGGUGUAGCGGUGAAAUGCGUAGAUAUCAAGAGGAACACCUGAGGUGAAGACGGGUUGCUGGGCCAACACUGACGCUGAGGCGCGAAAGCCAGGGGAGCAAACGGG
RNAcentral lists this ribosomal RNA (253 nucleotides) under uncultured bacterium. RNAcentral describes it as "partial 16S ribosomal RNA". It matches the Rfam family "Bacterial small subunit ribosomal RNA", at positions 524 to 776 of the family's 1533-position model. The record is from RNAcentral.